CAGGUCAGGAUGGAGCAGGGCACCCAGGUCAGGAUGGAGCCCUCAUCUCUGGACCCCUCCAUGGGGACUCUCUUGCACGACACAGUGCAGCUUCUCCUACACAGAACCUCUGCUGAUAGCAUCAAGGCUGAAAUUGGCACCACCACCAAGGAAGCAGAAUAGAAAGCAAAGAGGGUUGCCUCCCUGGCACAUACAUCAGGUUGACUGACAUUAUCUAAAGGAGACAUGGGUCUCUGCUCCCUGAGGAAGCAAGGAAGUGUCAAAUCUGGAGAGAUGUGCCAGACCAAAGGUCCCCCAAGCAUUUCUUCCAGGUGGCUGUCUGACAUAUGACACAGAACGGGCUUGGCUCAGAUCUCUGGCAUGAGUCUCUGCCCAUUGGCCUGGCUGCAGGACACACCAAGCCCAAGGGUCUCAUCCAUGUGCCAGACACUCUGGAGAUACAGAAGUUCAUGGAAAUAGACUUAACCCCAUCUCUCUGGUUGGAGAGGAAGCUUGGCAGGAGCCAUGAACAGCAUGUUUUCACUCUACAUGGAGUACUGCUUCUAAGGUAGACAGGAAGAGCCUGGCUAUACUUGUUGGGGGCAUUAUUCAAGUCAGUGUCUGUUGUAUAUUCCUCAAGAAUAUUUGAAACUUGAAGUAAAAUAAAACAUACUCCCACCUGG
Molecule: long non-coding RNA, 662 nt
Organism: Peromyscus eremicus (cactus mouse)
Lineage: Eukaryota; Metazoa; Chordata; Mammalia; Rodentia; Cricetidae
Exons: 2
Source: RefSeq, a predicted model, not a curated record